This 251-nucleotide long non-coding RNA is filed under the name Amborella trichopoda. Its description in RNAcentral is "long non-coding RNA (ATRI_LNC003372)". Lineage: Eukaryota; Viridiplantae; Streptophyta; Magnoliopsida; Amborellales; Amborellaceae. The record is from RNAcentral.
AGGUUCAAACGCGAACCGAGUUCCCUCCCUAACCAAGGCACGGACAUACAGACCUCACUUAAGGAUAGAAGUUGUCGAAACGCUAAGAGUUCACCCAACAAUGCGGUGAACGCGUUAGGGCCCCAAUACGACUUCCGUCCCGCGUUUGGAACUGUUGACCAAACUGCUUUCCAUUUGAGACCCAUAUAACAUGGUAUCUCAUGGAUACGGGGGGCAUACCGGUCAAACAGCUUUUCUACCAGACCUCGGAC